This 467-nucleotide ribosomal RNA is filed under the name uncultured bacterium. RNAcentral's name for it is "partial 16S ribosomal RNA". It matches the Rfam family "Bacterial small subunit ribosomal RNA", at positions 28 to 506 of the family's 1533-position model. The record is from RNAcentral.
GACGAACGCUGGCGGCGUGCUUAACACAUGCAGGUCGAACGGAAAGGCCCUGCUUUUGUGGGGUGCUCGAGUGGCGAACGGGUGAGUAACACGUGAGUAACCUGCCCUUGACUUUGGGAUAACUUCAGGAAACUGGGGCUAAUACCGGAUAGGAGCUCCUGCUGCAUGGUGGGGGUUGGAAAGUUUCGGCGGUUGGGGAUGGACUCGCGGCUUAUCAGCUUGUUGGUGGGGUAGUGGCUUACCAAGGCUUUGACGGGUAGCCGGCCUGAGAGGGUGACCGGCCACAUGGGGACGGAGAUACGGCCCAGACUCCUACGGGAGGCAGAAGUGGGGAAUAUUGCACAAUGGGCGGAAGCCUGAUGCAGCAACGCCGCGUGCGGGAUGACGGCCUUCGGGUUGUAAACCGCUUUCGCCUGUGACGAAGCGUGAGUGACGGUAAUGGGUAAAGAAGCACCGGCUAACUACGU